AGGCUGCGAUAAGCCUCGGGGAGCUGCCAACUAAGCUAUGAUCCGGAGACUUCCGAAUGGGGAAACCCAACCUUUAAAGGUUACGGCAUACUGAAUACAUAGGUAUGUCGGGGCAACCUGGGGAAUUGAAACAUCUUAGUACCCAGAGGAAUAGAAAACAAUAGUGAUUCCCUCAGUAGCGGCGAGCGAACGGGGAUUAGCCCAAACCACAGGAGCUUGCUCUUGUGGGGUUGUAGGACCAGCAUAUACAUCAUUCUAAUGAAACAACCGAACGUGGUGGAAACGCGUACCGUAGAGGGUGAUAGUCCCGUAGGUAAAGUUUCAGAAGAGAUAGCUGGCACCUGAGUACGGUGGGACACGUGAUAUCCUGCCGGAAGCUGGGAGGACCAUCUUUCCAAGGCUAAAUACACGCAAAUGACCGAUAGUGAACCAGUACCGUAAGGGAAAGGUGAAAAGCACCUCUAACAGAGGAGUGAAAUAGAACCUGAAACCGCAUGCCUACAAGCAGUGGGAGCUCCAUAUGCGAGUGACCGCGUGCCUUUUGCAUAAUGAGUCAGCGAGUUACUGCUAUGCAGCGCUAGGUUAAGUCGACAAGACGAAGCCGCAGGGAAACCGAGUCCUAACUGGGCGUAAGUUGUAUGGCGUAGACCCGAAGCCGGGUGAGCUACCCAUGGCCAGGUUGAAGUUCCGGUAACACGGAAUGGAGGACCGAACCCACUGAUGUUGAAAAAUCAGGGGAUGAGCUGUGGGUAGGGGUGAAAGGCCAAUCAAACUCGGCAAUAGCUGGUUCUCCUCGAAAUAUAUUUAGGUAUAGCCUCGAGCUAUUCACUCGCGGGGGUAGAGCACUGAAUGGGCUAGGGGGCUUACCAGCUUACCAACCCCAAUCAAACUCCGAAUACCGCGAAGUGCUAUCUCGGGAGUCAGUCCACGGGUGAUAACGUCCGUGGUCAAGAGGGAAACAACCCAGACCGCCAGCUAAGGCCCCUAAGUUCUAGUUAAG
RNAcentral lists this ribosomal RNA (1000 nucleotides) under Chaetoceros affinis. RNAcentral describes it as "partial Bacterial large subunit ribosomal RNA". It matches the Rfam family "Bacterial large subunit ribosomal RNA", at positions 63 to 1063 of the family's 2925-position model. Lineage: Eukaryota; Bacillariophyta; Thalassiosirophyceae; Chaetocerotales; Chaetocerotaceae. The record is from RNAcentral.